GACGAACGCUGGCGGCGUGCUUAACACAUGCAAGUCGAACGGUGAACGAGGGAGCUUGCUCCCUCCGGAUCAGUGGCGAACGGGUGAGUAACACGUGAGCAAUCUGCCCCGAACUCUGGGAUAAGCGUUGGAAACGACGUCUAAUACCGGAUACGCCGCGGGAGGGCAUUCUCUCCGCGUGGAAAGAACUUCGGUUCGGGAUGAGCUCGCGGCCUAUCAGCUUGUUGGUGAGGUAACGGCUCACCAAGGCGACGACGGGUAGCCGGCCUGAGAGGGUGACCGGCCACACUGGGACUGAGACACGGCCCAGACUCCUACGGGAGGCAGCAGUGGGGAAUAUUGCACAAUGGGCGCAAGCCUGAUGCAGCAACGCCGCGUGAGGGACGACGGCCUUCGGGUUGUAAACCUCUUUUAGCAGGGAAGAAGCGAAAGUGACGGUACCUGCAGAAAAAGCACCGGCUAACUACGUG
This 470-nucleotide ribosomal RNA is filed under the name uncultured bacterium. RNAcentral's name for it is "partial 16S ribosomal RNA". It matches the Rfam family "Bacterial small subunit ribosomal RNA", at positions 28 to 507 of the family's 1533-position model. The record is from RNAcentral.